UUAGGUACGUUAUUUACUCGCGUGGUUGCUCGCCCGUUACGUGCCCUUAUUUUAGUUUGCAUUACACUGAAAAAUCAGGAAAUGGACCAUCAACAUCAUCAUGAUACUUUAUUGUACAGUGAAUAUGGGGUACACUGAUGUCAUCGAUCGAUAGUAUCCGUUCACGCAAGUUGACAUACUUCCAACGGGAUACAUUACACUUCGACGUGCCGCCGACAUGCUGUAUCUGCCGACCGACGCCAGAAUAGCGUUCCUCGUCAUCUGUACUUUAAUGACGCUUACAAUGCUAGCGUACGUAAAGCUGCAAAUAUAUUUAAAUGGUGAAGAUAUCAUGAAACCGAAGCACCGAUCUCCACCACCGGAAUUUGGCAGCCAAGUAUUCGGUGACCACCGAUACGUGGAGCUAAGCAAUAUCACCGUUCAUUACAUGACCAAGGGAUGUGACGACAUCAACGAUGGCCGCGUAAUGGUACUGCUUUUACAUGGAUUUCCAGAUUUCUGGUUCGUGUGGAACAGGCAGAUACCUCGCCUAAGCAUGCA
Long non-coding RNA from Rhipicephalus microplus (southern cattle tick), 540 nucleotides. The record is from RefSeq and is a predicted model, not a curated record. NCBI's taxonomy places the organism in Eukaryota, Metazoa, Arthropoda, Arachnida, Ixodida, Ixodidae.